Rhododendron vialii is the source of this 415-nucleotide long non-coding RNA. RefSeq lists it as uncharacterized. Lineage: Eukaryota; Viridiplantae; Streptophyta; Magnoliopsida; Ericales; Ericaceae. The transcript has 3 exons. The record is from RefSeq and is a predicted model, not a curated record.
UCUCUCUCUCUCUCUCUCUCUCUCUCUCUCUCUCUGAAUUUUAGUUGUGCAUGUGACAUAGGCUUUUAAGAUGCUUCAUUGAUAAUGUAGGUCUAUGGAUGAUCUGUAUGAAGUGUGUACUCAGCUUCUGCUUUUGGAUUGUGACUUUUAUCAGGAGAAACUGGUGUUCUGAUCCUUCUCGGUACCACGAAUCAAGAUUCGAGUUCACCAAGGUAUCGAGAAUCAAGAUUCGAGUUCACCAAACACGCACGGGUUUUAGAUGAACCUUUUCAGGUGCAGAGAAGGCUCUGCCAUUCUAGCACCAUUUUAGGGCUUCACGAGCAGCCAUUGACAACUAGUUGCUCAACAACGAUUUUUCUUCUCGGAAAAGCUGGAAAUUUUCUGGUAAAAGCAGUCUACCUACCCAUUGAUAGGU